UCAACAACGGGAAGUCCAUAUUUGAGGC
Molecule: non-coding RNA, 28 nt
Filed under: Rattus norvegicus (Norway rat)
Lineage: Eukaryota; Metazoa; Chordata; Mammalia; Rodentia; Muridae
Source: RNAcentral